AACCUGUGCAGCCUGUGCAACCUUGGCUGCCUUAACACCUCAGCAGUGGCACAGAGUGAUCGCCUCCAUACCAUACCACACUGAUGCAGUAAUUCAUGCAGAAGGAGCCCCGACCAAGUAUUGAGUGCAUGUACUGUACAGUACGUUGACAUACUUUUCAGUAGGCCAACAUUUCUGUGUUAA
This is a long non-coding RNA of Thalassophryne amazonica, 183 nucleotides long. RefSeq lists it as uncharacterized. The transcript has 3 exons. Lineage: Eukaryota; Metazoa; Chordata; Actinopteri; Batrachoidiformes; Batrachoididae. The record is from RefSeq and is a predicted model, not a curated record.